RNAcentral lists this transfer RNA (88 nucleotides) under Ignavibacteria bacterium. Its description in RNAcentral is "tRNA-Ser". It matches the Rfam family "tRNA". From Rfam's summary of the family: Transfer RNA (tRNA) molecules are approximately 80 nucleotides in length. Their secondary structure includes four short double-helical elements and three loops (D, anti-codon, and T loops). Lineage: Bacteria; Pseudomonadati; Ignavibacteriota; Ignavibacteria. The record is from RNAcentral.
AGAGAGAUGGCUGAGUGGUUGAAAGCGGCGGUCUUGAAAACCGUUGUGCCUUCGGGUACCGGGGGUUCGAAUCCCUCUCUCUCUGCAA